Molecule: non-coding RNA, 112 nt
Organism: Acanthosepion pharaonis
Lineage: Eukaryota; Metazoa; Mollusca; Cephalopoda; Sepiida; Sepiidae
Source: the annotation of a GenBank genome assembly
ACGGCCAAAUAACGUUGAAAUACCGAUUCCCGUACGAUCAUCGAAGUUAAGCAACGUCGAUCGUGGUCAGUACCUACAUGAGUGACUGCUUGGGAAUACCAGUUGCUGUAAG